Molecule: long non-coding RNA, 480 nt
Organism: Castor canadensis (American beaver)
Lineage: Eukaryota; Metazoa; Chordata; Mammalia; Rodentia; Castoridae
Source: RefSeq, a predicted model, not a curated record
UCAAGGUGGACGAACCCCAGCACUCGAGAGGUCCCUGCAGUUCGAAAGAUGACGCACCUUAAAGCGCUGAAACCUUUGGUCCCGGUAGCGCAGCUGAGUAUUUUCAUGUUGCACACUUUUGCCUGUAAAUAUUUGCUUUGAGUCUUUGGUGCAGUGGGGAAGCCCAGUGUUGGAAUUUGAGUCACUCCCAUCUUUGCUACAUAAUAUGGCCAUUUGCUACUGUUCUAAUUAAUGUGGAGGGGAUGGCUGGACUUCUAGCAACUAUCUAUGACAAUAAAGUGACUUUACUCUAUUUGCUAAAAAUGGAAGAAGAUAAAAUCUAGGUCCCAGAUGACAUCAGAGAGAUGCCACACAACCCCUGGAUUGCCUACCUCUGGAUUUCUCAUAAUGGGGGAAAAUAAAACAAUUAGUUUAGUCACAUUAGUUGUGUGUGUGUGUGUGUGUGUGUAUGUGUGUGUAGUGGGGGGUAUCUCUUAUUUA